Non-coding RNA from Acanthosepion pharaonis, 113 nucleotides. NCBI's taxonomy places the organism in Eukaryota, Metazoa, Mollusca, Cephalopoda, Sepiida, Sepiidae. The record is from the annotation of a GenBank genome assembly.
UUACGGCCACAUCACGUUGAAACAACGAUUCCCGUGCGAUUACUGAAGUUAAACAACGUCGGGACUGGUUAUUACCUAGAUGGGUGACCACUUGAGAGUAGCAAGUACUGUAA